RNAcentral lists this ribosomal RNA (440 nucleotides) under uncultured bacterium. RNAcentral describes it as "partial 16S ribosomal RNA". It matches the Rfam family "Bacterial small subunit ribosomal RNA", at positions 338 to 795 of the family's 1533-position model. The record is from RNAcentral.
CCUACGGGCGGCAGCAGUGGGGGAUAUUGCACAAUGGGGGGAACCCUGAUGCAGCGACGCCGCGUGGGUGAAGGAGCGCUUCGGCGCGUAAAGCCCUAUCGGCAGGGAAGAAGAUGACGGUACCUGACCAAGAAGCCCCGGCUAACUACGUGCCAGCCGCCGCGGUACUACGUAGGGGGCAAGCGUUAUCCGGAUUUACUGGGUGUAAGGGGGGCGCAGACGGGAAUGAAAGCCAGGAGGAAAGGCCCGGGGCCCAACCCCGGGACUGCUCUUGGAACUGCAUGGCUGGAGUGCAGGAGGGGUAGGCGGAAUGCGUGGUGUAGCGGUGAAAUGCGUAGAUAUUAGGAGGAACACCGGUGGCGAAGGCGGCCUGCGGGACUGUGAUUGACGUUGAGGCCCGAAGGCGUGGGGAGCAAACAGGAUUAGAUACCCUAGUAGUC